GACGAACGCUGGCGGCGUGCCUAAUACAUGCAAGUCGAACGAGAGCGCCCGGUGCUUGCACUGGUCAAUCUAGUGGCGAACGGGUGAGUAACACGUGGGUAACCUGCCCAUCAGAGGGGGAUAACAUCCGGAAACGGAUGCUAAAACCGCAUAGGUCUUCGAGCCGCAUGGCUUGAAGAGGAAAAGAGGCGCAAGCUUCUGCUGAUGGAUGGACCCGCGGUGCAUUAGCUAGUUGGUGAGGUAACGGCUCACCAAGGCCGUGAUGCAUAGCCAACCUGAGAGGGUGAUCGGCCACAUUGGGACUGAGACACGGCCCAAACUCCUACGGGAGGCAGCAGUAGGGAAUCUUCCGCAAUGGACGCAAGUCUGACGGAGCAACGCCGCGUGAGUGAAGAAGGUUUUCGGAUCGUAAAACUCUGUUGUUAGAGAAGAACAAGUGCUAGAGUAACUGUUAGCGCCUUGACGGUAUCUAACCAGAAAGCCACGGCUAACUACGUG
RNAcentral lists this ribosomal RNA (498 nucleotides) under uncultured bacterium. RNAcentral describes it as "partial 16S ribosomal RNA". It matches the Rfam family "Bacterial small subunit ribosomal RNA", at positions 28 to 507 of the family's 1533-position model. The record is from RNAcentral.